RNAcentral lists this unclassified non-coding RNA (334 nucleotides) under soil metagenome. RNAcentral describes it as "partial contains 5.8S ribosomal RNA, internal transcribed spacer 2, and large subunit ribosomal RNA". The stretch from base 1 to 120 matches the Rfam family "5.8S ribosomal RNA", at positions 35 to 154 of the family's 154-position model. The record is from RNAcentral.
GAUGAAGAACGUAGCGAAAUGCGAUAAGUAAUGUGAAUUGCAGAAUUCAGUGAAUCAUCGAAUCUUUGAACGCACAUUGCGCCCCCCAGUAUUCUGGCGGGCAUGCCUGUUCGAGCGUCAUUUCAACCAUCAAGCCCUGCUUGUGUUGGGGUCCUGCGGCUGCCCGCAGGCCCUGAAAACCAGUGGCGGGCUCGCUAGUCACACCGAGCGCAGUAGCACAUCUCGCUCAGGGCGUGCGGCGGGCUCCAGCCGUUAAAGCACCCACCUUUCGCAAGGUUGAACUCGGAUCAGGUAGGAAUACCCGCUGAACUUAAGCAUAUCAAUAAGCGGAGGA